Molecule: long non-coding RNA, 1074 nt
Filed under: Oncorhynchus kisutch (coho salmon)
Lineage: Eukaryota; Metazoa; Chordata; Actinopteri; Salmoniformes; Salmonidae
Description: lncRNA (ENSOKIG00005018078.1)
Source: RNAcentral
AUGGAAAAUAUUAUGACCAAUGUUUUCAUUGCUGGGCUCCCAGCGUGUGCCAUAUAUUUUCUUUACGCCAACAUUUAUUGCUCUUAUAAACGACUGAAAGCUAAUGUGGUGUUUGACAGUCGUCAGAGCAUUCCAAGUUUUGCCUACCUUUUUCUCAGAUAUGUAUUCAGAGCUCUUAUCAAAAGACAGGGGCAUUUGUACUUUUGCGAUAGAGAUGUCGAAGGUGAAGUUGCCUUCACCAUCUUUAACUGCAGGUUCAACAAGGAUCUACUGAGGAGGUUCUGUAGUGCAGCUGGAUAUGGCUGGGACUACCCAGACAUUGAGUUCAGGGAUAUCCCUCUGUGUUACCCAGACACCCUCUGUCUGCGGAUGCUUGACAUAUUAAUAUCUGCUGAGAAGUUCAGAUUGAGCCCUCUGGGUCUAGUCCGGCUACGUCAGAGUUUGAGAACAUGGCAGCCAAUAGAUGAGCUGAAGAAGGGACCCUUCAAGUUGCAGGCUCGUGUGUUAGAGUACAGGGUUGUUGAAGAUGGGGUGGAGGUUGACAUUUCUUUAACUGCCAUUUCACACACUGACCAGCCAGUAUGGGAGAGUGUUUUGACAAUGCUCUCCCAGGACAGAGGCCGAACACCAAACACACAACCUAAACCUGAGUGGUAUGAUGGUCACAUGGACACAUCAGAGCCAGAUGACGUGAAGGCGGUAGAUAUCAAUGUUCCCUGGACUACAGGACUGACGUUUGUGUGGGCUUUCUCUGACUACUCUCCACGUUGUCUCCUAACUCUUCCUGCUAAACUCUUGGGCUGCAGAUGUACCCCAACUCCUAGUCUAUGGAUGCUGUCUAAAUGCUUGGCUGAAAUUGAAAAGCACAAAGGAGUUGAUGCCAUUAGAGCCCCCAUCUCUGUCACCGCCCAGUUCAAGGAACCAUUGUUGGUACCAGGAAAAGUGACCAUCAAAUUUUGUGAGAGUGCGGGAGUGCAGUCCAAAUGUGUUAGCUUCCAAAUGGAGCAAUACGAGAGGAAGAUACCUCACAUCACGGGACAAAUCUGCAGGACUACUGUAGAGGAUGUGAAUUAA